This 253-nucleotide ribosomal RNA is filed under the name uncultured bacterium. Its description in RNAcentral is "partial 16S ribosomal RNA". It matches the Rfam family "Bacterial small subunit ribosomal RNA", at positions 524 to 776 of the family's 1533-position model. The record is from RNAcentral.
UACGUAGGGAGCAAGCGUUGUCCGGAAUCAUUGGGCGUAAAGCGCGCGUAGACGGCCCGGUAAGUCCGCUGUGAAAGUCGGGGGCUCAACCCUCGGAUGCCGGUGGAUACUGUCGGGCUAGAGUGCGGGAGAGGCGAGUGGAAUUCCUGGUGUAGCGGUGAAAUGCGCAGAUAUCAGGAGGAACACCAAUUGCGAAGGCAGCUCGCUGGAACGUAACUGACGCUGAGACGCGAAAGCGUGGGGAGCAAACAGG